CAGCCCACGUGGCGUGAUCCCAGUGGCUUCCUGCCUCACAGUCAAGGGAGCCGAGGACGUCCUCAACAAGCAGUACGCGUUCGAGCUAUCCACGCGCUCCGACACCAUGUACUUCAUCGCCGACUCGGAGAAGGAGAAGGAGGACUGGAUCAACUCGAUCGGACGGUCCAUAGUGCAGCACUCGAGGUCCGUCACCGACUCCGAGGUCGUCGAUUACGAUAGCAACAAGUGAUGGGGGAAGGGGCAAUUUGGUCAGAUUACUACUCUGUGAUGUGAACCAAAGAGCUAUAGCCUAUAGCACAAUCACAAAGAGCUUUACAGCCUCUCUGGAGCUGUGUGGCAUUGCUCCUGUGGAAUUGCUUUACAAAAGUUAGCCAGCUUAGUGUCUGUGUAAGCAUUAGGUGGUGGAAUGGGGAGGUCACUUUGUGAAGUGGUAGAGCAAGAGAGAAGACAUGUUUCCUCUCUGAUUUAGAUUAGAUGUCUGUCUGUAGGAUAUGAUUGAUGGAGAAUAGCCCCAACACGACACAACUCCCCUUGAAUUUUUUUAAGGUAAACGGUAAACCCAGCUGGCAAGCAGAGAUUGCUAUCCUGAAAGGGUGUAUUUCUUGCAACAUAGGUGAGCAUAUCCCUACACAAAGUGUCAACAGUUCCCCCAUCUCUGGAAUUCUAGGUUGAGGACGGUUACUCUCUGACAAUGUUGGCUGGCAACUAUACGAGGCCGGUUGACACGAAUCAAAGCUAAGUGAGUUAUUCCAUGAGCUUAGUGUGCUCCAAGAACAUCAUCAUCAUCUAUGGCAUCCUUGAAGGCAAUCAAAGCAGGUUUGGCAAUCUCAGUAAGCACAAGCCUGCGGCAGCUGCCUUAGUAGAUCAGACUUCAGAGUUCAUGCAGAAGCCCACAAUGAGGACAGCAGACAUUAGUGUUAAAUAUCCCCUGGCCUUAGUAGAUUAGACUUCAGAGUUCAUGCAGAGUUCACCCUAAUUACCAAGCAGUCUUUGCUCGUAAUUCCAUACUGAAAAUCUUAGUCAAGUAAUUUGAUCAAAGAAUUGCUUUGGUGUUAAAUAAAUGCUGGCCAACUCUUGGUCGAAUUCGAAUGA
This is a non-coding RNA of Prunus avium (sweet cherry), 1095 nucleotides long. The record is from RefSeq and is a predicted model, not a curated record. Lineage: Eukaryota; Viridiplantae; Streptophyta; Magnoliopsida; Rosales; Rosaceae.